Molecule: ribosomal RNA, 714 nt
Filed under: uncultured Anaerolineaceae bacterium
Lineage: Bacteria; Bacillati; Chloroflexota; Anaerolineae; Anaerolineales; Anaerolineaceae
Description: bacterial SSU rRNA
Rfam family: Bacterial small subunit ribosomal RNA
Source: RNAcentral
AGUGGCGCACGGGUGCGUAACACGUGGCUCAUCUACCCCAGAGACGGGGAUAACGUUCGGAAACGAACGCUAAUACCCGAUAAGCUCACAAGCUGUAGAGGCUCGUGAGAAAAGCGUAACGCUUUGGGAUGAGGCUGCGGUCCAUCAGCUAGUUGGUGUGGUAAUGGCACACCAAGGCGACGACGGAUAGGGGACCUGAGAGGGUGAACCCCCACACUGGCACUGAGAUACGGGCCAGACUCCUACGGGAGGCAGCAGUGAGGAAUAUUGCACAAUGGGCGCAAGCCUGAUGCAGCGACGCCGCGUGAGCGAUGAAGGCCUUCGGGUCGUAAAGCUCUUUUCUGUGUGACGAGGCAAGGACGGUAGCACAGGAAUAAGUCUCGGCUAACUACGUGCCAGUAGCCGCGGUAAAACGUAGGAGGCAAGCGUUAUCCGGAGUUACUGGGCGUAAAGCGCGUGUAGGCGGUCAGGAAGGUCGGAUGUGGAAGCUCCCAGGCUAAACCGGGAGAGGUCAUUCGAAACCACCCGACUAGUGUGUGGCAGAGGGGUACGGAAUUCCGGGUGUAGUGGUGAAAUGCGCAGAUAUCCGGAGGAACACCAGAGGCGAAGGCGGUACCCUGGGCCAUUAUAGACGCUGAGACGCGAAAGCAUGGGGAGCGAACGGGAUUAGAGACCCCGGUAGUCCAUGCCGUAAACGAUGCACACUGAACGUCC